RNAcentral lists this transfer RNA (77 nucleotides) under Lagopus lagopus (willow ptarmigan). RNAcentral describes it as "tRNA-Trp". It matches the Rfam family "tRNA". From Rfam's summary of the family: Transfer RNA (tRNA) molecules are approximately 80 nucleotides in length. Their secondary structure includes four short double-helical elements and three loops (D, anti-codon, and T loops). RNAcentral also lists the same sequence under 2 other names. Lineage: Eukaryota; Metazoa; Chordata; Aves; Galliformes; Phasianidae. The record is from RNAcentral.
AGAAACUUAGGAUUAACCAUCGCCCAAACCAAAGGCCUUCAAAGCCUUAAAUAAGAGUUAGACUCUCUUAGUUUCUG